GAAACUCUGCCGCCGGGUAGAAUAUGCAUUAAGUCCCCCAUCGAUAGGCCUUAGCAGAUGGGAAUAAUGGCUUAAUGCUUUU
RNAcentral lists this non-coding RNA (82 nucleotides) under unclassified sequences. The record is from RNAcentral.